RNAcentral lists this ribosomal RNA (55 nucleotides) under Heterobranchus isopterus. Its description in RNAcentral is "partial 28S ribosomal RNA". Lineage: Eukaryota; Metazoa; Chordata; Actinopteri; Siluriformes; Clariidae. The record is from RNAcentral.
CCGAACGCGACCUCAGAUCAGACGAGACGACCCGCUGAAUUUAAGCAUAUUACUA